This 491-nucleotide ribosomal RNA is filed under the name uncultured bacterium. Its description in RNAcentral is "partial 16S ribosomal RNA". It matches the Rfam family "Bacterial small subunit ribosomal RNA", at positions 28 to 507 of the family's 1533-position model. The record is from RNAcentral.
GAUGAACGCUGGCUACAGGCUUAACACAUGCAAGUCGAGGGGAAACGACGGGGAGGCUUGCUUCCCCGGGCGUCGACCGGCGCACGGGUGAGUAACGCGUAUCCAACCUGCCUCUGACUGAGGGAUAACCCGUCGAAAGUCGGCCUAAUACCUCAUGGCAUCGUCUGCGGGCAUCCAACGACGAUUAAAGAUUUCAUCGGUCAGGGAUGGGGAUGCGUCUGAUUAGCUUGUUGGCGGGGUAACGGCCCACCAAGGCUACGAUCAGUAGGGGUUCUGAGAGGAAGGUCCCCCACAUUGGAACUGAGACACGGUCCAAACUCCUACGGGAGGCAGCAGUGAGGAAUAUUGGUCAAUGGGCGGGAGCCUGAACCAGCCAAGUAGCGUGCAGGAUGACGGCCCUAUGGGUUGUAAACUGCUUUUAUGCGGGGAUAAAGUGAGGGACGUGUCCUUCAUUGCAGGUACCGCAUGAAUAGGGACCGGCUAAUUCCGUG